Molecule: long non-coding RNA, 913 nt
Organism: Sphaerodactylus townsendi
Lineage: Eukaryota; Metazoa; Chordata; Lepidosauria; Squamata; Sphaerodactylidae
Exons: 3
Source: RefSeq, a predicted model, not a curated record
AACGUGCAACUCUUGGGACCUGGGCUCUGCAGUGGAAACGAAAGCGGAGAGGCCGGGAAAAAAACCGCGGGAUUUUUCCCCUGCCUCUUUUGCGGUGCCCUGAACGGCCCUUUCCCCACCGACGGCCGUUCCCCACCCUCGCCCCUCUCUGAACUUUUCGCGCCACGGCGGCUCGUGGGCCAAUCGAGUCGAAUGAACUUGAAUCAGGGGGUGGGAUGAGCAGGCAGAGGCGCCCAGCAGCGCUGAGCGAGCGUGUUCUCCUAACUCCCCUUGGUAGAGAGCAGGCCGCGCUUCUCUUGUGCAGACCUCGAGUCUGGAUGCCCGCCGCUGAAGGACAGAAACGGGAACCAAAACCACGGGAUUUGGGGUCUGCCGCUUUUGUAGUGUCCCGAGUGAGAAACAAAAGGGGAAUCUGCGCCUCUCGUUUGCUGCGAGUGGUAUACAGCUUCUGAACAUGGCAGUUCCAUCUUUCUGUCAAGUGUCGUAGCCAUGGAUAGAUAUAUCCUCAAUCUUUGAGCUUCGUUCACUGGCUGAAGUGAUUAAGAUUUGGCAACAAUUCUUCCUUCUCCCCCCCCACCCCGCCUAUUCUUUCUGAAGACAAAGUGAACCUCACAACUUCCCGAGACUUCAUGAAGAAGGAUCCGUCACACUUGGACUUUUGUCUGUGAGCUCUCAUUGCAAAGCAGGAAAAGAACAAUAAGCUGCCAGGAGGGCUUGGCACCUGUGUGGAUUAAGGAUGACAUCAAAGACCUCAGAAAGAAGUGCAGACAGAGCAGAGAUCAGCCUAGAAAGCAGAACGAACAUCUUAGAUUCCUCCGUGCCAGGAAUGAAGGUGGAGAGGAGGUGAAGAACAAAAUCAAAAAGAAGUGGCAAGAAGUGACCUACAGUGGGUUUUACUGCUAUCUAUAUCUAU